CAUUGAGCUGAAACCUGGAAGCCAGAGCAUCUUAAGCUGCAAAAUAAGUAACAUCUGCUGCAAGUGCAAGUAAUCCAAUUCAGCCUCUUCGUUGGUGCUAGGACGACUUAAUCAAAAUGCCAGCCCCGAGUGCAAACGAAACCGGAAAUCUGUUGACAACUUACUUGAUCCUGAUAGCUCUCCUAAUAGCCCUCUGGGUGCUAUAUGCCGGCAUUUUACAAUAAGUUUUUUCUGGUCGUUAUCAUCAGUCAUUUAUUAACCGGACCAUACACCUAGCGUAAUUAUGGAUUUAACAGCUGUUUAAAGACAAGUUGCUAUUGCAACUUGAGUCAAUUAUUUGUAUUUUUAUAAGUAUUAAGUACACUAUGUUAAGUUUUAAAUGUAAAUAAACUUUUUUGUUUUUA
Molecule: long non-coding RNA, 404 nt
Organism: Zophobas morio
Lineage: Eukaryota; Metazoa; Arthropoda; Insecta; Coleoptera; Tenebrionidae
Exons: 3
Source: RefSeq, a predicted model, not a curated record